GACGAACGCUGGCGGCGUGCUUAACACAUGCAAGUCGAACGGAAAGGCCCUGCUUUUGUGGGGUGCUCGAGUGGCGAACGGGUGAGUAACACGUGAGUAACCUGCCCUUGACUUUGGGAUAACUUCAGGAAACUGGGGCUAAUACCGGAUAGGAGCUCCUGCUGCAUGGUGGGGGUUGGAAAGUUUCGGCGGUUGGGGAUGGACUCGCGGCUUAUCAGCUUGUUGGUGGGGUAGUGGCUUACCAAGGCUUUGACGGGUAGCCGGCCUGAGAGGGUGACCGGCCCGAUUGGGGUGGGGAUAGGGCCAAGACUCCAAGGGGAGGCAGUAGGGGGGAAAAUUGCAAAGGGGGCGGAAGCCUGAUGGGGCAACGCCGGGUGGGGAAAGACGGCCUUGGGGUUGUAAACCGUUUUCGCCUGUGAGGAAGGGUGAGUGACGGUAAUGGGUAAAGAAACCCCGGUUAACUACGU
This 467-nucleotide ribosomal RNA is filed under the name uncultured bacterium. Its description in RNAcentral is "partial 16S ribosomal RNA". It matches the Rfam family "Bacterial small subunit ribosomal RNA", at positions 28 to 506 of the family's 1533-position model. The record is from RNAcentral.